This 387-nucleotide ribosomal RNA is filed under the name uncultured eukaryote. RNAcentral describes it as "SSU rRNA". It matches the Rfam family "Eukaryotic small subunit ribosomal RNA", at positions 587 to 972 of the family's 1831-position model. The record is from RNAcentral.
AGCUCCAAUAGCGUAUAUUAAAGUUGUUGCAGUUAAAAAGCUCGUAGUUGGAUUUCUGCCGUGGUGCGCCUGGCCCGGCCUCUAGGGGUUGUGAGCCGGCGCGCACCGGGCAUCCUUCGUGUGAACACGUCUGCCGUUGAUUCGGUUCGGGCGUGGGAACACGAUCGUUUACUUUGAAGAAAUUAGAGUGUUCAAAGCAGGCAUUUGCUGUGAAUAGGUUAGCAUGGAAUAAUAAGAUAGGGCUUCGGUUCUAUUUUGUUGGUUUCUAGGACUGAAGUAAUGAUUGAUAGGGAUAGUUGGGGGUGCUCGUAUUGACCGGCCAGAGGUGAAAUUCACGGAUUCGGUCAAGACGAACUUAUGCGAAAGCAUUCACCAAGGAUGUCUUCU